CACUGUUCCUUGUCAUUGUAGAAGUGGAGGUGGUGCUUGAAAGUUUGUUUUCUGAGACUUGAAUGCAGAAGAGGAGAUAUGGAAGAGGUUAUUACAAACUAUUGAGUAGAUUUCCAUGUGCUAUAAGCUUUGCCACAAUUUGCCUGAUGUCAUCACCAGCUGAUUGGAUGGAAUCCCAGCUUUUACCUCAGAGGAAUGUUUGCAGACAUCAGCUUCCGCAAGUGUAGAAGAAGAGAGAUGGACGAUCGAGAGGGAAAAGAAAGAAGGAGAAUUGGUUCCAGUCGAGGGAAGCUGGCCUCCUGCUAGAGCCACAGGUCAUGUGCACCAUCAGCACAUUCAGCAUAGCACACAGGGCUUCCAGCAGCAGUUGUCGCCUGUGCAGACAGCCCUUCACAGUCUCAAGUGCUGAUGGAUAAUUGUCAGGCAGAUUAUAGAUAAGGAAGAAAGUAUGAGGCCAGUGGCUUUCUGUGGACCAGUCGUAGCUGGCUGGUCAGGCAACCAGAUUGCUGGAAUCACAGUGCACACACCGAUAAGCCCCUUAAUUCCAAAGGAUGCUGGCUGCUGGGCGCUGGCCACAUCAUGUACAGAGGGAAGUUGCUCCCAAAGCCCCUCUCCCAGGAAGGACAGGAGGAUAGGAAGGGAGCUCCUGGGUGUGGGGACUCGGCUGUAUCAGCCAUCACCUCCCACAGUGUAGACUUCAAUCUCUUCUCCUUUGCUGUGAUUUUACACAGACUCAUUUAUCUUCAUUUUAAUAAAAGAUUCUGUUAUCUCAUGCCCCCACCUCUUAACAUUUCUUUGCUUUGCAGUGAAACUUUUCCAAAGGAUUUCCUGGGACCGCCUGCCUCUAUUUCUUCAAUUCACAAUAUACCUGGGUUCUAUCCCCAGCCCACGCCCCUUCAUGGUUGCUGCUUUUUGACACCUAUAUCUUACCGGAGGUGCCCACAGUCUUUGACCUUACCCACCAUAUUUCCAGUUUAGAAUGCUCACUUUCUUAACAUCUGUGAUACUUGCCUCUGGGGCCUGCCCCCUCCAUCAGACCCUGCAGCCCCCUCCAUCAGACCCUGCAGCUGCAUGAAGCAAGGAAGAACAGUCUUCAUUCAAUACUCAUGGCACCUGGCAGUGUCUGAAUCAUAGUGAAACCCCCUGGAGGAAGGAACGAGUGAACACCUAGAUUCUUCCAGGUGGAAGACCUGGAUUCCAUUCUCUGAGAGGCGAUAACGUUUUGAACAGAAGCAGGGGACUGUGUCAUGCCUUAAAUUCCCCUGGACAGCAUCCAAGCUCUUAAAAUUUUAGUUGGAAAUCUUCAAAAUGCUUUGUGAAAAGCGGAUCCUGGUUCUGUGACUCUCCUGAGUAAUAGGAAGUAGAUUUCGUCAAUUCUGGAAGCGCCAUGGCUAAGAGCCACGCUUGGGAAUCAGAGGAGAAGGUUUUAACCUCAGCUCCUCCAAGUAGUUGAUGGUGACCUAGACAAAGGAGAGGAGCCCGGCUCUCACAUCUGUUAUUGGUGAAAGUAACAUCCACCUGCAAAUACUGACAUAAUACCCACCUGCUAUUAUUAAGCUCAAUGACAUGAGAUUGUGUACACCCAAUUUUUCUCUCCUGUGACAUGUGAGUCCCUAAAAGAUUAUGACGCUAUGAACAAUCAUGUAAUAAGAACCACAGAGCUCAAGGGAAAAACAGAGUUAUUGGUACAACCCUCAAACCCUUCGUCACUGACGCAUUUAGAGAAAAACAGAUAGGAACUUAAUAAAAACGGUGGCGCAGUUUUACACAUCGAAUGUGACUCAGAAAUAAAGGACUUUAAUACAUCUGGCUUUUGACCUUGAAAAAAACCUGAAUUUUGUAUAUCCUGAGGGAUGGAGAACUGGGGAACAAGAGGCGGGUUCAGGAUGCAAAGUCCUAAUGCAGCAUGUGGAUGGGAGCGUAUGGCUCAUGACACAGGUCAUGGGCUGGGUAGCUGGUAGAUGCCUAAGGUGUGUUUCAUUGCAUUUUGCAUAUUUCUGUAUAUCUCUGUUCAUGUGGAUGCAGUUUCCUUUGUUUAUAUGGCCUUUCCUGUGGACACAAUUCCACUAGCAAACCCAGAAUCUCUGUUAUGCUCGAGCUGUUCCGUGAUCUAUUGACUGUGCUGGAAGAGAUUCGUGUGGUAAAAAUAAGUCUUGCAUCAGAACUGGCAGUGAGGAAAGCACUCGAUGCCCCAGGCCUGCAGUAAACAUCCAAUAAGUGGCUGCCAUUUCCCUUUCUUUUACUUUCCCGUAAAGUCCGAUCUUCUCAAGGACAGGCACUGGGUGUUGUCUGCCUUUGUGCCCCCAGUGACUGGUACCCAUUAGCCACUCAGUCAGUACCUCUGCGGCAGGGGCUGCUGUGCUUGACAGAGGCUCAACCAAAACAGAAAAUGCAGCAACUCCGCCGACUAAUGACCUAUAAAAUGAGCGGGCCCGCAUCCGGCUGACUUAAGGCUGAACCCCAAGUACUGACCUCGCCGGGAGCUGGCCCUGCAGGUGGAGAGACGAGGAAUUCUCACAGUAGGACGUGGAGGGCGCUAGGCAUGAGAAGUGUCCAUGAAGUGGCUCCCCAGGGGACAACGAGACAUUUCAGAGACCUGACAGUGUCACAAAUCUGGUAAAGGCCAGAUCCAGGACUUGAUCUUGGGCAGAAAUGGCUCCAAGCCUUUUCUUUCCUGUCACCAUGUACCAACGCCUAUGACAAAAUCAGUCCUAUUGACAAGGUACGGCCCUAGUGUGGUAACCUUUCUCCCUGACAUUUUUACCUGUCACCUUAUUUAAUCCUCAAAACUAUCAUGUUCCACAAGAUUACUUUUUUUUUCCUAUUUAACAGGUGGAAGAAAAAGGAGCUCAGAGAAGGAAGGUGACUUGCACAAGGACACACAGGAGGAGGCGCAGGAUCACUAGCUCUGUGCGCCUCCUUUAGAGCAGGGCCAGGGGAGUACCUGCUGCCUGACCUGCAGGGUGGCAGACAGUGUACGAGGGAGUGGACACUUGACAUCCGCGCUGCUGGCUGUUGGCAGAGGGGCCCUCACGUUUAUCAGGGAAUAACAUCGCUCUGCUCUUCCACUAAUAGAAGCGUAAAUAUGGCCCUUCUCUGCUGUGAGCAAUUUCCUUGGCUCUGCUGACAUAAUGGGAAAUAUCCUCAGUGAGAAAAUUAACUAUUGGUGUCACAGGGCUAUAAGAGCAACAAAGAGCAUCGCACCCUUCAUGGCCACCCCCUCCUCCAGCAUCUCCAUCUUUCUUCAGGCUGGCGUGGAGCCCUGCACAGCGGCCCAGGAUCCCAGCUCUGAAAGGAGAGAUCUUUGAAAUGUCUGAGACUCAGUUUUGUAAGAUGAGUCAUGCAUUCACUGAUUCGACACAUUACUCUUUGAAACAGCAUGAGGUUUUACUGAGAGCUCUGGACUCUCAUUUUGGAGCUCAAGUCUGGGCUCUGCCUCGGAGUCGCUGUGAACCUGGGGAGGUUCCUUCAUCCCUCUGAGCUCUGGUUCCUCUGGACCUGUUUCUUCAUCCCUAAAAUGAAGAUCGUCAUGUCAGCAUCCUCCUGAAAAUACCUCCUUCACAGGCUUCUACUGAGGAUGCAGUGUGGCGGCACCUGAGUCUAGUGCAAACAGCUUUGGGACACUCAACAACGUGAUUGUGUAUUCAUUCCUGGGGGGACGGGUCCCAGAGCUAGUGCUCAAGGAUGAAGAAGCAGCAGUAGGGACAGCCCCAUCCUUGUGGGGUCCAUUCUUGGGCACAAGAAGCCAUGUGCCUGACUCCCCAGCCUGUAUCUCAGAGCAGAGUCACCUUUUCGAGUGUGAAGGGUGUUUUCAAAAGUCUGUUAUUUAGUAUCCAAGUAUUGAAAAGAAUACAAGACUGUUGGGUAUUAAU
Molecule: long non-coding RNA, 3872 nt
Filed under: Sus scrofa (pig)
Lineage: Eukaryota; Metazoa; Chordata; Mammalia; Artiodactyla; Suidae
Description: lncRNA (ENSSSCG00050049105.1)
Source: RNAcentral